AGCAGCCGCGGUAAUUCCAGCUCCAAUAGCGUAUAUUAAAGUUGUUGCAGUUAAAAAGCUCGUAGUUGAAUUUCGGGGUUAGUAGGUUGGUCAUGCCUCUGGUAUGUACUGGUCUCACUGAUUCCUCCUUCCUGAUGAGCCGUAAUGCCAUUAAUUUGGUGUUGCGGGGAAUUUGGACUGUUACUUUGAAAAAUUAGAGUGUUUAAAGCAAGCUAACGCUUGAAUACAUUAGCAUGGAAUAAUGAAAUAGGACGUUCGAUCCUAUUUUGUUGGUUUCUAGGAUUGACGUAAUGAUUAAUAGGGAUAGUUGGGGGCAUUAGUAUUCAAUUGUCAGAGGUGAAAUUCUUGGAUUUAUUGAAGACUAACUACUGCGAAAGCAUUUGCCAAGGAUGUUUUCAUUAAUCAAGAACGAAAGUUAGGGGAUCGAAGACGAUCAGAUACCGUCGUAGUCUUAACCAUAAACUAUGCCGACUAGGGAUCGGAUGAUGUAAUUUUUAAUGACUCAUUCGGCGCCUUAAC
Molecule: ribosomal RNA, 519 nt
Filed under: uncultured Glomus
Lineage: Eukaryota; Fungi; Glomeromycota; Glomeromycetes; Glomerales; Glomeraceae
Description: SSU rRNA
Rfam family: Eukaryotic small subunit ribosomal RNA
Source: RNAcentral